RNAcentral lists this long non-coding RNA (372 nucleotides) under Phascolarctos cinereus (koala). RNAcentral's name for it is "lncRNA (ENSPCIG00000012443.2)". Lineage: Eukaryota; Metazoa; Chordata; Mammalia; Diprotodontia; Phascolarctidae. The record is from RNAcentral.
CUCAUAAUGCCACCCUACUUUUUUACCUCUCCUUCUACACUGACUGCCCUCUCUGACCUUAGACCUGUUAAAAAAACCAGAGAUGACUGGGUGUCUAUCAUAUCACAACAUUCAUCAAAGGAGCAACAACAACAAAAAGAAGACAGCUGGAUUUCAAAAUAAGCCUUCCAUACCCCAACCUCCAAUCAUUUUCCAGAAAUGUCUUCCUUGAGGCAACUUAAAGAAAUCUAGAAAAUCUAAUGGAAAGAGGGAACCCCCUGGAAAGUUUGCUGUUGGGACAAAGCACACAAAGAUCUGGGGACAGUAUAAAAUUCAGGUGGGCUACAGGGUAGCUAUUACAGUAAUCCCAGUGAGAAGGGAUAUGUGUUUGAA